This 183-nucleotide ribosomal RNA is filed under the name uncultured bacterium. RNAcentral describes it as "partial 16S ribosomal RNA". It matches the Rfam family "Bacterial small subunit ribosomal RNA", at positions 1317 to 1500 of the family's 1533-position model. The record is from RNAcentral.
UGCAUGAAGUUGGAAUCGCUAGUAAUCGCGGAUCAGCAUGCCGCGGUGAAUACGUUCCCGGGCCUUGUACACACCGCCCGUCACACCAUGAGAGUCGGGGACACCCGAAGUCCGUAGUCUAACCGCAAGGGGACGCGGCCGAAGGUGGAUUCGAUAAUUGGGGUGAAGUCGUAACAAGGUAUC